GCCGCGGUAGCCGAGUGGUUAGCAUUGCGUACUGCCAUUCGAAAGGCUCGGGUUCAAAUCCCCCUUGCGACC
RNAcentral lists this transfer RNA (72 nucleotides) under Ceratitis capitata (Mediterranean fruit fly). Its description in RNAcentral is "tRNA-Gly". Lineage: Eukaryota; Metazoa; Arthropoda; Insecta; Diptera; Tephritidae. The record is from RNAcentral.